Molecule: ribosomal RNA, 460 nt
Filed under: uncultured bacterium
Lineage: Bacteria
Description: partial 16S ribosomal RNA
Rfam family: Bacterial small subunit ribosomal RNA
Source: RNAcentral
CCUACGGUCUGCAGCAGUGAGGAAUAUUGGUCAAUGGGCGCGAGCCUGAACCAGCCAAGUCGCGUGAGGGAUGAAGGUUCUAUGGAUCGUAAACCUCUUUUAUAAGGGAAUAAAGUGUGGGACGUGUCCUCUUUUGUAUGUACUUUAUGAAUAAGGAUCGGCUAACUCCGUGCCAGCAGCCGCGGUAAUACGGAGGAUCCGAGCGUUAUCCGGAUUUAUUGGGUUUAAAGGGUGCGUAGGCGGCCUUUUAAGUCAGCGGUGAAAUUCUGUGGCUCAACCAUAGAAUUGCCGUUGAAACUGGGGGGCUUGAGUAUGUUUGAGGCAGGCGGAAUGCGUGGUGUAGCGGUGAAAGGCUUAGAUAUCACGCAGAACCCCGAUUGCGAAGGCAGCCUGCCAAGUCAUGACUGACGCUGAUGCACGAAAGCGUGGGGAUCAAACAGGAUUAGAUACCCUUGUAGUC